RNAcentral lists this ribosomal RNA (994 nucleotides) under Platycnemis phyllopoda. RNAcentral's name for it is "SSU rRNA". It matches the Rfam family "Eukaryotic small subunit ribosomal RNA", at positions 44 to 999 of the family's 1831-position model. The record is from RNAcentral. Lineage: Eukaryota; Metazoa; Arthropoda; Insecta; Odonata; Platycnemididae.
AUUAGCCAUGCAUGUCUCAGUACUAACCGCUUUAAGGCGAAACCGCGAAUGGCUCAUUAAAUCAGUUAUGGUUCCUUGGAUCUUACCCACACUUACAUGGAUAACUGUGGUAAUUCUAGAGCUAAUACAUGAACCUCGUGCCCCGACCAGUGAUGGAAGGGGUGCUUUUAUUAGAACAAAACCAAUCGGUCGGUCUUCCGUCCGUUGCCUUGGUGACUCUGAAUAACUUUUGGCUGAUCGCACGGUCCUAGCACCGGCGACGCAUCUUUCAAAUGUCUGCCUUAUCAACUUUCGAUGGUAGGUUCUGCGCCUACCAUGGUUGUAACGGGUGACGGGGAAUCAGGGUUCGAUCCCGGAGAGGGAGCCUGAGAAACGGCUACCACAUCCAAGGAAGGCAGCAGGCGCGCAAAUUACCCACUCCCGGAACGGGGAGGUAGUGACGAAAAAUAACGAUACGGGACUCAUCCGAGGCCCCGUAAUCGGAAUGAGAACACUUUAAAUCCUUUAACGAGGAUCUAUUGGAGGGCAAGUCUGGUGCCAGCAGCCGCGGUAAUUCCAGCUCCAAUAGCGUAUAUUAAAGUUGUUGCGGUUAAAAAGCUCGUAGUCGGAGGUGUGUCUCGGACGGUCGGUUCGCCGCUUGUCGGUGCUCAACUGGCCGGUCCGGACGUCCUGCCGGUGGGGCCGCGAGGCUCCGUUAUCCUUCUUUGGUCCUCUUCACCGAGUGCCUUGGUGGGCCGGCACGUUUACUUUGAACAAAUUAGAGUGCUCAAAGCAGGCCGUUGGUCGCCUGAAUACUGUGUGCAUGGAAUAAUGGAAUAGGACCUCGGUUCCAUUUUGUUGGUUUUCAGAACUCGAGGUAAUGAUUAAUAGGGACGGACGGGGGCAUUCGUAUUGCGACGUUAGAGGUGAAAUUCUUGGAUCGUCGCAAGACGAACCGAUGCGAAAGCAUUUGCCAAGAACGUUUUCGUUGAUCAAGAACGAAAGUUAGAGGGUU